AUGGCGACCAAACUCAUGCCCGCCGUGUUGCUGGUGAUGCUAGAACUCUCCGCGGGGGCGGGGGCGCGCUCCGAUGAUUCGCCGUGUGCCUUCCCGGCGAUCUUCAACCUCGGUGACUCCAACUCGGACACGGGAGCCUUCCCAGCCCUCUUCCCGGCGGUGCAGCCGCCCUACGGCCGGACCUUCUUCGGCAUGCCGGCCGGGCGGCAAAGCGACGGACGCCUCACCAUCGACUUCAUGGCUGAAAGCCUGGGGCUACGUUACCUGAGUGCGUAUCUGGAUUCACUCGGGAGCAACUUCACGCAGGGAGCCAAUUUCGCCAGUGCCGCCGGAACCAUCAGACGGGUGAACGGGAGCUUGUGGACCUCCGGGUACAGCCCCAUUUCCUUGGACGUCCAGAUCUGGCAAUUGCAGCAGUUCAUCAACAGGAGCCAGUUCAUCUACAACAACAUAGGUGGAAUCUACCGGGAGAUCCUGCCGAACCCAGAGCACCUGGUCUCCAAGGCGCUUUACACCUUCGACAUCGGCCAGAACGACCUCACCGUGGGCUACUUCGACAACAUGACCACCGAGCAAGUCGCGGCCUACGUCCCCGAUCUAAUGGAGAGGAUCUCGUCCGCGAUCCAGGCCGUGUACGACCUUGGUGGGAGAUACUUCUGGGUGCACAACACGGCGCCGCUCGGGUGCCUGCCGUACGCCUUGGUCUUCCGCCCGGACCUCGCCGCGGAGAAGGACGCCGCCGGCUGCUCGGUCGCGCUCAACGCCGGCGCCCGGUUCUUCAACGCGCGGCUCAAGGAGACCGUGGCGAGGCUCAGGGCGACGCUCCCCGGCGCCGCCUUCACCUACGUUGACAUCUAUGCCGCCAAGUACAGGCUGAUAAGCCAGGCCAAGAAGCUCGGUUUCGGGGACCCCCUGCGCGUGUGCUGCGGGUACGGUGGCGGCGAGUACAACUUCGACAGGGACAUCCGGUGCGGCGAUAAGGUGCAGGCGAACGGCACGUCGGCGCUGGCGGGGAAGUCGUGCAAGGACCCGUCCAGGAGCGUGAGCUGGGACGGCGUGCACUUCACCGAGGCGGCCAACAAGUUCGUCUUCGAUCAGAUCGUGGAUGGCGCGCUCUCCGACCCUCCCGUGCCUCUGCGGCGGGCCUGCCAGGGCAAACGGCAAUGA
Molecule: ribosomal RNA, 1167 nt
Filed under: Triticum aestivum (bread wheat)
Lineage: Eukaryota; Viridiplantae; Streptophyta; Magnoliopsida; Poales; Poaceae
Description: partial small subunit ribosomal RNA
Source: RNAcentral